This 183-nucleotide long non-coding RNA is filed under the name Mizuhopecten yessoensis (Yesso scallop). RNAcentral describes it as "uncharacterized LOC110449573, transcript variant X3". The record is from RNAcentral. Lineage: Eukaryota; Metazoa; Mollusca; Bivalvia; Pectinida; Pectinidae.
AUUGUAAGACUACGAACGAGCACUAUAUAUGUAUGAGAUUGUUGUCACCACCCCAAGUAUGGCAGUCAGUCAUAUCAUGUUGGAGGCCUAUAAAAAGUAUAUCCUCACUGCUCUUAUUUUACAUGGAAAAGUACCCAAUGUCCCAAAAUACACAUCACCAGUUGUUGCUCGAUAUAUAAAAGU